UAAGUCCCGCAACGAGCGCAACCCUUGUCUUUAGUUGCCAUCAUUAAGUUGGGCACUCUAGAGAGACUGCCAGGGAUAACCUGGAGGAAGGUGGGGAUGACGUCAAAUCAUCAUGCCCCUUAUGCUUAGGGCUACACACGUGCUACAAUGGGUAGUACAGAGGGUUGCCAAGCCGUAAGGCGGAGCUAAUCCCUUAAAGCUACUCUCAGUUCGGAUUGUAGGCUGAAACUCGCCUACAUGAAGCUGGAGUUACUAGUAAUCGCAGAUCAGAAUGCUGCGGUGAAUGCGUUCCCGGGUCUUGUACACACCGCCCGUCACACCACGGGAGUUGGAGACGCCCGAAGCCGAUUAUCUAACCUUUUGGAAGAAGUCGUCGAAGGUGGAAUCAAUAACUGGGGUGAAGUCGUAACAAGGUAGCCGUAUCGGAAGGUGCGGCUGGAUCACCUCCUUUCUAAGGA
This 458-nucleotide ribosomal RNA is filed under the name Clostridioides difficile. RNAcentral describes it as "bacterial SSU rRNA". It matches the Rfam family "Bacterial small subunit ribosomal RNA", at positions 1081 to 1533 of the family's 1533-position model. The record is from RNAcentral. Lineage: Bacteria; Bacillati; Bacillota; Clostridia; Peptostreptococcales; Peptostreptococcaceae.